RNAcentral lists this ribosomal RNA (393 nucleotides) under uncultured bacterium. RNAcentral's name for it is "partial 16S ribosomal RNA". It matches the Rfam family "Bacterial small subunit ribosomal RNA", at positions 523 to 918 of the family's 1533-position model. The record is from RNAcentral.
AUACGGAGGAUGCAAGCGUUAUCCGGAUUUAUUGGGUUUAAAGGGUGCGUAGGCGGAUGAUUAAGCGUGAGGUGAAAUGCCACUGCUCAACAGUGGAACUGCCUCGCGAACUGGUUGUCUUGAAUGCUCCUGCCGUGGGAGGAAUGUGUGGUGUAGCGGUGAAAUGCAUAGAGAUCACACAGAACACCGAUUGCGAAGGCAUCUCACGAAGGGGUGAUUGACGCUGAGGCACGAAAGCGUGGGGAUCAAACAGGAUUAGAUACCCUGGUAGUCCACGCAGUAAACGAUGAUGGCUAACCGCUGGGCUUAUCAGUUCAGUGGCCAAGCGAAAGCGAUAAGCCAUCCACCUGGGGAGUACGACCGCAAGGUUGAAACUCAAAGGAAUUGGCGGGG